UGGUGAAAGGGAAAUAUAUUUAGACCAUUUUGAGCCAAAAUUCAUUUGUCUAUGAGUUUGCAUUAAAAAUUCAGGAUUAAUGCGCUACAUAGUACACUAAUUUAAGAUUUCCAGAAAACCGGGAGUUAUUUUUGGUAGUACCUGUCUUUUCAAAAUCAGAAAUUUGUUACAAAACUUUAAACAUUGGUUGAAAAUUGGCAUGUAGGAAGGUGAUACAUGUACAAUUCAGGAUAUACCUGGUUUCCUUGAAGUUAAACUUAAGGUAAAAUAUUUAGAAAGCUGUGAAAUUGCAAAAUUU
This 298-nucleotide long non-coding RNA is filed under the name Mytilus galloprovincialis (Mediterranean mussel). Lineage: Eukaryota; Metazoa; Mollusca; Bivalvia; Mytilida; Mytilidae. The record is from RNAcentral.